Molecule: long non-coding RNA, 5161 nt
Filed under: Octopus vulgaris (common octopus)
Lineage: Eukaryota; Metazoa; Mollusca; Cephalopoda; Octopoda; Octopodidae
Source: RNAcentral
AUGUAUAUAUAUAUAUAUCAUACAUAUAGGUAGAUAGAUAGAUAGAUAAAGGUGAUGGGAUAAAAUGUAGGAAGAUAGAGGAAAGGAACAUGGACUAAAAUAUAAGAUUAAUUAUAGAGUAAGACAUUGGUAUUGGUUAAUAUCAGAAGAAAUUGGUGUGUGUAGGGUAGAGAAAUAUGCUAAAGAAUAAUUGGAAAUAUAGGCAGAGACAUAGGAGGAAUUCUAGACAGAAAUAACUGAGAAAUACAAAUAAAAGUACAAGGAGGGGAAGAGAAACUAUGGCGAUAAAGAUAAAAAUAUAGUGAGGAGAAUAUAGAGAGAAUUCUACGAUACAGAAUUAGGGAAUAGAUAAAAAUAUAGUGAGGAGAAUAUAGAGAGAAUUCUACGAUACAGAAUUAGGGAAUAGAUGAAAAUAUAGUGAGGAGAAUAUAGAGAGAAUUCUACGAUACAGAAUUAGGGAAUAGAUAAACAGAUAUAUAGAUGGUGGAAGAGAGACAUGAGGAAGAUAUAUGUAGGACAGAAAUAAGCCAAAUUUAGAACUGGAAGAUACUAAGGAAUGACAGUAUAGCAUGGUACUUUACUAUUGUAAAUAAUUAUUUCGUGUUUUUAGAGAACCGUUCCUUUGGUGAAGAAUUGUGGAAAGCAAAAUUCAACCAAGGGAUGUUUUGUUAAAAUUAUUUUAGGCAGUAAAUAUUUUUGGUUAUUUUUUUUUUCUGUUUUUGAUCCCGUGGAUAAUAAAAGAACCUAUUAUUAGUAUCAUGUUUAUUUCUAUAAUUAUCAUCAUCAUCAUCAUGAUUAAUCUUUAAUUAACAUUAAUUAACAUUAUUGUCUUAGCCAGGACCAGUCUGAUCUGGCAGUUUUUCUGCCAGAUCAGACUGGGCCUGGUGCAGCCUCCUGGCUUCCCAGACCCCAGUCAAACCGUCCAACCCAUGCUAGCAUGGAAAGCGGACGUUAAACGAUGAUGAUGAUGAUAAGUAUAACACACGAGUAAGUACAGAAAUGCAAAACGAGGUGGAAAAAAAAUAGUACUCGAAUACUGAAGGUAGAGUAAUAUGCUUUCAUGGAAGCUGCAAACUGUUACUCAAGGUUUCACAUUACCAUUUGUCGGACAGAUGUGAACAUAUAGAUUGCAACUGUCUGAGGAAUGGUAAUGUGAAACGCUAAAUAACAGUUUGUGAAGACUUUCGCAGCUUUAAUAAGAAUACAUAACUAUAAUACAUAGAAACCAUUAAUGAUGAUGCAAUGUUUCUAAUAUAGGCACAAGCACAUAAAUUUGGAAGGAGAAGGGGCCAGUUGAUUAUAUUGACCCCCCAGCAUUUCAAUGAUGUGUUUAUUUUAUCACUCCCAACAAUCCCCGACCAAGGGAAGUCACCCUUCGUGAGAUUUGAACUCAGAACUCAGAAUAAUAAUAAUAGUCCUUUCUGCUAAAGGCACAAUGCCUGCAAUUUGUGGUGGGGGGGGGGACUAGUUGAUUAGACUGAACCUAGUGUUUCACUGGUACUUAAUUUAUCAGCCCCGAAAGGGUGAAAGCCAAAGUCGACCUCAGAGGAAUUUGAACUCAGAACGUAGCCAUGGGUGAAACACCAUGAAGCAUUUCGCCCAGUGUGCUACUGAUUCUGCCAGCUCGCUGCCUUAAUAAUAAAGUAUGUUAAGAAUGAAAAUUGAUGUCAACUCAUUCUUUUAUUUUUUUAGAAUUGAUAAAACAAAGUACCAUCGGAAUAUUGGGGUCAACAUAACGAAAUAGUCCUCAUGCCUAUGGAAAAAUUUUUUAUUAUUAUUAUUAUUAGUAGUAGUAGUAGUAGUAAGGCAGGAAAGGUGGCAGAAUUGUUAGCACACUGGGUGAAAUGCUUAGUGGCAUUUCAUCUGCCUUGACAUUCUGAGUUCAAAUUCCACCGAAGUCAGCUUUAUAUUUCAUCCUUUCGGAGGUCGAUAACAUAAGUACCAGUUGAGCACUGGUGGUGGUGGUGGUGGAGGGGUUUAUCGACUAAUCCCCUCCAAUCAAAACUGCUGGCACUGUGCCAUAAUGAUAAUAAAAAAAAAUUAUUAUUAUUAUUGUUGUUAUUAUUAUUAUUAUUAUUAGUAGUAGUAGUAGUAGUAGUAGUAGUAGUAGUAUGAGGAGGAGGAAUUAUUAUCAGCAUUAACGUUAUAAAACAACACUAUUUGUUGUAUCACUGCUUGUACAUGUAUGACAGAGAGUACAUUAUCUCAAGACACGUGUACUAAUGUACUUUUAAGAACGUAACACUGGUUACCCAUCUACAAUAUAUGCUAAUUGCGAUACAAUGACUAACUACAACAAGGCAGGAAUUGGGUCACAUUUGAACCAGACUAAUAACAUUUAAAAGAUAGAUUAUCGAGUGAGUGUGCUUGUGUUGAGUACUGUACGGCAUCUACGCACACAGACAUAGUUAUACACAGAUAUACACUGACUCAACAUGCACACACACACACACACAUAUAUAUAUAUAUAUAUAUGUAUAUAUAUAUAUAUAUAUAUAUAUACAUGAUUUUUUAUAAAAUGUAGCUAUAUACAUCAAAGGCCCAGCUGUACUAACCAGUCUAUUUUAGAUCAUCCCUUUAUAAAGAACAGCCACAUUUUAAUGGAUAUUAUGCUUGACUAUAUCUUUUGUUAAAUAUUGUAGCUUUCAAUGCUUUAUGAUAUAAACUUUUAUAACAUUUGAUAAUGCCGGCAAUGACACAAAUAUCUUUUAAGACUCAGCGUACCAAGCGACAUGCACAGAUUUACCUAAUUCACAUACAUGCUCCCAUAAGCACAUACAGGCUCACAUAUACAUGUGUAUAUAUAUAUAUAUAUAUAUAUAUAUAUAUAUAUAUAUAUGGUCACCGUGACCGACCAGGCUAUCAGAUGUUGCUACACAUCGCUGGUCACAAUGUAUUUCGCAUUGUUUUAGCCUUUAAAUGACGCCACCCCGCUGGCUAAGCGAGCAGGUGUGUGUGUGUGUGUGUGUGUGGUUCAACAGUUUUGCCACCAAUGAUAGACAUUCCUUGGGGAUUAAUACUGCAGUAUUACGGUGUUCCUAUAAUACAUCCGUGUUAAGCAGGAUGUAGUUUAUAUAGUCAUUCACUUGUAAUACUAUCUUUGUUGCUAAUAUCUUACACACACACACACACACAUAUAUAAAAUCAAAAUAAGCAACAAGGAUAUCCAGAGGUAAUGCAGUACGAUCGUUUCAUGCAACUCCAUUUAAUUGAACAAUGCAAUCAUUACAUCAAUUUAAAAUGCAGAGCAAUCUUCAGCUACACAAAGACAUAGAAUUUAAUUAAAUUAGAACAGAUGGACACCUUAGUAUAAUUAUACCUAAGAUCUCCAAGAAGUUAAGGAGAUAGACAAAGAACAUGUUGUCUCACUCCAGCAUAGAAGUUACUGCAUUACCUCUGGAUAUCCUUGUUGCUUAUUUUGAUUUUAAUCACCUUACUUUGAAAUUGUAUGGAUAAUGCCAUACUAAAUUCCAGUGCCUCAACUUAAGUACCAUAUUCAUCUGAAUCUAUCUAUCUAUAUAUAUAUAUAUAUAUAUAUAUAGAUAUGUAUAUUAUAUUAAAUUAGAGAUAAAACCACUAUUAGGCAAAUCAAACAAUGAAAAACUUAAGCCAAUACAUAAAAUUAAUUAAUUUAUAUUAUUUUAAAUAUAUAUCAAAAUUAUUAAAAGUUUAAUAAACGAUAAUGAGUAAAACACUACGAUCGUUUCAUGGCUGUCCAAUUCGUAAUAAUUCGAGUUAUGGUUACAGUCAAUCUUCAGGUGAUUGAAAUAUCUAAAAUAUAAUCAGAAAUACUUAAACACACAAACACACACAUACUUGCAUAUACAUAUUUUUACAUAGAUGCAUACGUACAUAUACACAUUUAUGUAUAUAAAUUUCUCUACAGCUUUAUUUCCUGUCAAAGCUAUUUCUAGCCCAACCAUUAUAAGCGCAUCUUACUUUAUCCACUCCAAUAUUAAUUCUCUCAAAGGUACUUGUAUGGUCUGAGACUACAAACAAAUGUGAGACCAUCGUUCCCUUCACUUUUAUUCUACUUCUGCUAUUGCCACUCACUCACUCAUUCUCUUUUUAUUUGACAGCCUUCCCACUUUCACAUAAUCUCUUUAGUGUGACAGGGAGUAAAUAGAAUGGUUGUAUACUGUCAAUCUAACAGUAGGGGGUUACACCACCGCUGUUUAGCCCUAGGAAGCGUCUACGCUUCCUGCUGGCUUCGACACAUUUUUCCUGUGUCCUUAUAUACAUUUACGAAGGGGAGGAAAAAAAUGUGUCGAAGCCAGCAGGAAGCGUCGAUGCUUCCUAGGGCUAAACAGCAGUGGUGUAAUCCCCUACUGUCACGUUCACGUUAGAUUGACAGUAUACAACCAUUCUAUCGCCCCACCACCGUACAUAUCUCUAUGAGAGAUUUAGAAAUUUAAUAUUUCUGAUUUUGGAGUAAAUAGAUAAAACUAUUUAUUAUGUGCAAAUGGUCUUCUGUAUAGAACCAUAACUGACAACAUAGAAUCCAAUAGUGUGAGGCAAUAUAGAAGGGGGUAUUCUAUAGUCUAGACAAUAAUUCAGUAACAUACAUUAUACUAAAAUUAUACGAGUUAAUUUAAAUUUAAAUCUCAUUAAAUUUAAGGAAAUUCAUGCUAUUUUUAGCUAGUAUGUGCACAGAUCUAUAUAUAUAUAUAUAUGUGUGUGUGUGUGUGUGUGUGUGUGUGUGUGUGUCCAUGUGUGUAUAUGUGUACUUACACGUGCAUCUGUGUAUUUGUGAAUGCACACUUGCAUAUAUGUGUUUCUUACACAGGUAUACAUAGAUGAAAGUGGGUUUAUGUAUAUCUGCACAUUUGUGUGUGUGUGUGUGUUUAAAUGUUUUAAAUAUUUUUUUUUUCAAAGUUAAAACAAUGCAAUUACUAAUACAGGUCAAUGGCUAAUGCUAUCGGCUGGUAUUUCAAAAUUUCAAGGUUAUGACCUCUUCUUCAGGAAUUGGACAGAGAAAAAGGUGUUGAUAGCUGACACUAUACAGUAUAGGAAUCAGCUAUCAACAUCUUUCAUCUGUAAAUCUUCUGAAGAAGUGGUUGUAAAACUUGGUGAUAGUGAACUGUUGACCUGUGUUAUUAAUAUUUUACAACCUGCAUUAUUAUAGCUUUAAAAAUAAAUAUUUUAAACAUAUAUAUAUAUA